This 333-nucleotide ribosomal RNA is filed under the name uncultured Chloroflexota bacterium. Its description in RNAcentral is "bacterial SSU rRNA". It matches the Rfam family "Bacterial small subunit ribosomal RNA", at positions 28 to 351 of the family's 1533-position model. Lineage: Bacteria; Bacillati; Chloroflexota. The record is from RNAcentral.
GAUGAACGCUGGCGGCGUGCUUAAUACAUGCAAGUCGAACGGAGACAUUGUAGCAAUACGAUGUUCUUAGUGGCGAACGGGUGAGUAACGCGUUGGUGACCUGCCCCAAAGAGGGGGAUAACAGUCCGAAAGGAUUGCUAAUACCCCAUGUGGUCUCAGGGAUUAGAUGCCCUGAGUCAAAAGGAGUAAUCCACUUUGGGAGGGACCUGCGUCCCAUCAGCUAGUUGGUAAGGUAACGGCUUACCAAGGCUUUGACGGGUAGGGGACCUGAGAGGGUGGCCCCCCACAAUAGGAACGUAGAACAACGGUCCGACUACACCUACGGGAGGGCUG